UCUGACUGAAGCUUCCGGGUGAUAGGCUUCUGUAUUUUAGAGGGGGCUCAAGAGGAGGAGAAACAUAUUCACUGUAUCCUGUGCAAUUGACAUUGUUCUGUUUAUAGUUAAGCCAGUGAUCAGCACAGAGACGGCAGAAAAUUCUUGAAAGAAUGAUGAAAUUAUAAUCAUCCUUGGACUCACCAUUGGGAUACUUAUAACACUUUUACUUUAAAACUCUCUCGUGGGAAAUAAGAAUGCAAAAGAUUAGCCCUGAGCUAACUACUGCCAAUCUUCCUCUUUUUGCUGAGGAAGACUGGCCCUGAGCUAAUGUCCAUGCCCAUCUUCCUCUAUUUUAUACGUGGGACGCCUACCAGAGCAUGGCUUUUGCCAAGCGGUGCCAUGUCCACACCCAGGAUCUGAACCGGCGAACGCCGGGCCACCGAGAAGCAGAACGUGAGAACUUAACCACUGCGCCACGGGCCAGCCCCAGUCUUUCCUUUUUAUUUUCAGAAGAACCUCAGGAAAAACUUGAGGAACGUAAGAAAAAGUUCGAGGAACUUAAGAAAAAGUUUGGUAAGUUGUUCAUAUCCCUCUACUUCCAUAGGUCUUUUGGAUGACUGGUUUCUUGGUCUCUUUGAGAUUCGUUGCCAUUUUAUCUCUAAGCCAACCAUUGGCACACACUUCUCCUAGAUGUUGACUGUUCUCUGACAAAAUGGAUGAUGCUGGGCUUCUCCCAUUCUAAGUUCUGUCAGUUUCCAUUCCUCUUCCCAACAUCUACUUCCAUUUCUGCUAUGCAUUUCAUCCCAUGCCAUCCCUGGAAACAUUGGCUUCUUCGUCCCUGCAGACAUUUCCCAGGGUUUCAUUGAUAAGGCGGCAAAACAAAGGACAUUACGGUGAUAGGCGUAUGGGUUUCAUUCUAUAUACAUUUCUGAAAAGCAUCCUAACUUAACACUUCUUUCGUAUGUUCCAAGUUUGAGGGGCCAUGACUAUGCAACUCAUACUUAGGCAAUACAGCGAAAGAGAAGACAAGAUCCCAAAGUGCUGAGUGAAGCAUCUCUAUCCAUUGUGUGUUCAAAGUUGUUAUAACUGAUAUCACUCAUUGGUCAGGUAUGACCUGAAGGUCAACUCCCUUUGUCCUCAAACGUAUUACCCAAGUGUCCUCAUGCAUGUAAAUACCUUACAUAUUUUCUCCUACCUUUUAGAAAAUUUCCAACCACACUGAUCGCCCUCAUUCUUUGGCAUUUUUAUUGCCACAAUGAUCAAAUUGGCAAGCUGCAAUUUCUUCUAAAUAUUGGUAGAAUUGUAUGACCUAAGGAAGAUUCAAAUCUAAUGUAUCUCAAUUCUUAAUUUGUUACGUAACAACAUAGGCCACUAUUUUCCUGGCCUGAUCCCAAAGGACACUUAAUAGAAUCCUGACAUUUUUACAUCCUCCUUUUCCAAUGACAUUUUCCAGUUAUACUCUUGUUUUCUGUGGAACUGAAUUUACAAAUUUAUCUCAACAAUGUACAUACUCCAUUUCAUAUGACAACAGGUCCAUGUAGAGAUUGGGACAGAUGGAUGCCUUUACUGUCCGCUUCCUCAUCACUUUGGAGUGCUGAAUUCAUGUAUGUUGGCAUGUCUGCAUCAUCUUUUCAAAAGUGGGACAGCUGGACAAAAGAGACUUACU
Equus asinus (donkey) is the source of this 1648-nucleotide long non-coding RNA. The record is from Ensembl. Lineage: Eukaryota; Metazoa; Chordata; Mammalia; Perissodactyla; Equidae.